RNAcentral lists this unclassified non-coding RNA (1678 nucleotides) under Stylophora pistillata. Its description in RNAcentral is "beta-2 adrenergic receptor-like, transcript variant X4". The record is from RNAcentral. Lineage: Eukaryota; Metazoa; Cnidaria; Anthozoa; Scleractinia; Pocilloporidae.
GCAAUGCAAAAGUGUCGGAGCAUUCGGUACUUCUGUAUCAUCAGGAAACCGAACGGCCGGAGUAUUCAACGAGUACAUUGGUGAUUGAUUGUUACGCCGAACCGAGAGGAACAAGAAUUGCAUCACUACAGUGUUUCCUCAUCACCCAACGAAUUCAACUCAAGUAUGGUCGGAAAUACCUCAACCAAUGGAACCGAACCUGAAAAUGAGUUUAAAUUUCUGACUUCACCGCUGAUUGUUCUGAUGUCUUUCAUGUGCCUGUUAAUUGUUUUCGAAAAUGGUCUUAUAAUCUUUUUAAUGUGCAGAAAGAGGAUAUUGAGAACACUCACCAACAUGUUUCUUACUUCACUAGCACUUUCAGAUCUUACAUCGGGUCUAGUGAGAAUGCCUCUGUUCUUCAUUUGCUCUUUGGACACCCAUUCGCUCCAUGUCUGUGUGGCCUCCACCGUAUUUACUCGAUUGACAGCCAUCUCCUCAGUUUGUCAUGUCCUGCUCAUCGCUGCAGACCGCUAUGUCUUUAUUGUUCAUGAUAUGAAGUACCGUGUUUUUGUAACAAAGAGACGAGCAAUGGCUGCCACCCUUGCCGUGUGGCUGAUUUCAAUUCUAGCGUCUGUCGUUCAGUUGUCUUGGUAUAUUUUUCACGGAAUCGAGUUCAGCGAUCGACCCGCCUUUAUUUAUGAUCUAAACAAACAGUACGCCCUUGCGUGCAUCGUGCUGUUCUUUGCUGGUCCUUUUUUGUUAAUAUUUUACAUAUAUGGACGCAUUUUUUAUAUUUCCUAUGAACUCAACAAAAAUGACCGCAAGAGGAUCAAAACUUAUAAUUAUAAGCUGCCCACUGGAUCUUUGCGUCAUGAGUGGCGGGGUCGUAGCAUACUGUUGAUCACGAUGAUAAUUUUUGGCGGCUGUUGGCUGCCUUAUUUCUUCACGGUGUUACAUGAUCAUUCUAGUUCGUCAGAUGAUUCUACCAUACCAUUAUGGUCUCAGCGUCUGCAAACUUGCCUUGGUUUUUUACCAAUGAUGUUAAACCCGAUUUUGUGUACUUUGGCAAAGAAGGAUUUUCGUCACGCAUUCAAGGAGAUUGUAAUAGGUCGAAGAUCUUCGCGUCAUUUUAAUCAAGAUAUUUCUCUACAGACAACCCGCGAGAGAUUCAGAACUAUAGAUAGUGAAUCUGAACGAACCUGAAAGAAAUAAGAUCUGUGGGUUUUGCUCUCGGAGAAGUUUACUUAACUUUGACAGUUUUGAUCAGAAAACACUUACGAAAAUGACACUUGCAUCGUACGUUGAAAGGAAAGUGGCGCACAAAUAUCAAUUUACUUAUUUACACUACAAUAAUCAAGGGGCAAAAAAGCAUUUGCAAAUCCUUUUAAGUAUAUAUCACCAUCCUGUUGUGGAUCUCUGUCUUUGGAAUGUGAAUUUUUAGGCUGCCGAUUCUAACGAAACGAAGCAAAUUUAAACGAAAAUAUAUUUCAAUCGUCGGAAACAACGAAUUUCCAUUGUCAGCUAAAUACCAGACGUUUGGUAUUUCGUUCGAGGGAGUGACUGAUGCUUCCUGUUCAGAAUUUGGAGCUCCUCUUUGGAAAAGAUCAGAAACGAAUGAAUAAAAGACAAAUGAAUAAAGGGGAGAAACUCUUCAUUGAGCAAUCCUGGGAGUGAAAGAGCUACCCAUACAGCGUCGUUG